GCCGGGGUAGCUCAGCUGGUUAGAGCGCCAGCCUCCUAAAAUGGGCGCUACUCAUAAUCUGGAGGUCGUGGGUUCAAAACCCACCCCCGGCAC
This 93-nucleotide transfer RNA is filed under the name archaeon HR06. RNAcentral's name for it is "tRNA-Arg". It matches the Rfam family "tRNA". From Rfam's summary of the family: Transfer RNA (tRNA) molecules are approximately 80 nucleotides in length. Their secondary structure includes four short double-helical elements and three loops (D, anti-codon, and T loops). Further hydrogen bonds mediate the characteristic L-shaped molecular structure. tRNAs have two regions of fundamental functional importance: the anti-codon, which is responsible for specific mRNA codon recognition, and the 3' end, to which the tRNAs corresponding amino acid is attached (by aminoacyl-tRNA synthetases). tRNAs cope with the degeneracy of the genetic code in two manners: having more than one tRNA (with a specific anti-codon) for a particular amino acid; and 'wobble' base-pairing, i.e. permitting non-standard base-pairing at the 3rd anti-codon position. The record is from RNAcentral.